This is a long non-coding RNA of Drosophila yakuba, 2078 nucleotides long. RefSeq lists it as uncharacterized. Lineage: Eukaryota; Metazoa; Arthropoda; Insecta; Diptera; Drosophilidae. The record is from RefSeq and is a predicted model, not a curated record. The transcript has 2 exons.
AAUUGAAUUCGUUGAUUUCAUUUAAAUUAUUCACUACAUAUACUCAAAAUUCAAAUGAAUAAGAAUUAAAAUUAAACCCAAACAAAGUACGAAAAAUCAAUAAAUCAAACAAUUGGUUUUGACGGGGGUUCUCUUUUAAAAUCUAAAUGCAAUCUUUUAAAUAAAAAUGUGGACAUAAUUAUGAAAUUAAAAAGAUGUUUUUAAUCAUAAUAAAAAAAAAGGUAACAAAAACAAAAUGUACAUGCUUUUUUUAAUUUCAUAGCUUAUUUCGUGAAUUUCAAUGCGUUUAACUUUUUAUUACUAAUUUUAAAACUUAUAUUUUGUAUAUUUUAGAACAUCUUUGAUCAUUUUUCAAGAUACAUUAGGAUGUACCUAUCUUCCUCUUAUGUCAUUGUCUUAUAUUCAUAAAUUUUCGAUUACAUACCAGUCUGGGGACUUGAGAACAGUUUCAGACGAGCCAAGAUCUAAUUGCUGUUAAAUGUUUCGGAACUUUAUCCUGGUAAUACCGCCUAAACUUGUAUAUGCCCAGUUUUUCUUUAGUUUGCAGAAGGUUUUUAUUUAAUAUUUGAAAAUACAUUUAUAGCAUUAAUUCACGUUUCUCGAAAUAACAUCGUCGAUACACUAAAAUCGUUGGAAAUGUAUGAAAUUCUGUCCGCUUGUCCUUAUUAACGGAGUGAUUCCGCCCACAUUUUUGAAAAACGUUUUCCGACUCUAUAUAUGUAUAUACAUACAUAGGAGGUUCCCACUUAGGAAGUGGACGUCCAAUAACAAGGCGAUUUUGGCAGACAUCCAGACUGACCAUCUCCUUCAGGCUGAUUUUCUCGAAAUCGACGCAGAGAACAUGGCUAAAACUCUCGCCGUGCGGUGGAAGGCGACGUCUGAUGAGUUUUUCUUCAAUCCUCCAGAAUUGACCUCGGGGUCGUCGUUCUCAAAGCGUCAAGUCCUUUCCCAAAUUCCCAAGUUGUUCGAUCCAGCCGACUGGCUAGCCUCCUUCAUUGUCCAAGCAAAGACUUUUGGCUCCAGGAUCUAGGUUGAGACGAUGUCCUCCGUCAAGAAUUCUGCAAGAGAUUCAGUGGGGAACAAAAGUGAUUCCACGAUCAACGUUUUCAUUUUUGAGCUUACAUACAUAUUAAACGAGUAAUGUAAAUGACAAAAACUUUUUUUUUAUUGAACACCUUGCUUAUUUCUUACACUUAGGCGUAAAUAGCAAAAUAGAAAAAGGAGAAAUCGAAAAGUAAUAAUUCAAAAACAAAAACCAGCGGCAUGUACUUAGUUGUGCACCAUUUGAGAAAAAAUACAAAAUUCAUUAUUAAUAUUUUGUCCAGAGACCCUUUUUUUCUAUGACAUUUUUUAUACAUACUUUCAUACUUGGCAUACUUUCAAAUAAUUUUUCGAAUAUUCCUUUCGGAUUAUUAUUUUAUUUUUGUUCAAGACGCCUCCAAAAAUCGUCCAAGUUGGAUGGGGCUGACUGAUACUGUCCUAGCCGUCUCUUUACGAUUGACCAUAGGUUUUUAAUCGGGUCGAGGUCGACUCUCUGCGCUGGCCACUCCAUCAUCUAAUAAUUUUGUUUUCCGAGCCAUUCUUUAACAAUUUUCGCAGUGUGCUUGGGAUCCCCAUCUAGCUGAAAAGUGAUUUCCUGCUCUAGGUAGCCACACUACUCGAAAAAAUUGGGAAGAUGGGUUUGCAAAAUGCUCAAAUAGUGUUCCUUUCGCAUAAUCCCGUCAAUUUUGUACAACGGUCCAACGUGCGAGUACGUGAAACACCCCCAUGCCAUUAUGUUGCCGGCUCCAUGUUUCACAGUUUGUUUCACACGAUGCCUUUGAAGCGUGUUACCAGGUCUCCGUCAACAGUUUUGCUUUCUAUCCGAUUGAUAACGAUUAAACUUAGAUUCGUCCGACCAAAUGACACGUUUACAGUCUUCUAUUGUCCAGUUCUUGUGUUCCUUUGCAAAUUAAAGCCGAGUCCUAACAUUUUUCUUGAAUAAAGCUGGUUUGUUUUUUUUCACUGCUGCAACGUACCCAGUCCUACCAAGCGCUCCAUCGACUCACGCCUUUAUUUAUUUCUGUAGUUGCACAAAA